This 244-nucleotide ribosomal RNA is filed under the name Podoscyphaceae sp. RNAcentral's name for it is "partial large subunit ribosomal RNA". Lineage: Eukaryota; Fungi; Basidiomycota; Agaricomycetes; Polyporales; Podoscyphaceae. The record is from RNAcentral.
AAACGCUUGAAGUCAGUCGCGUCGUCCGGGACUCAGCCUGGCCUUUUGGCUCGGUGCACUUCCUGGUUGACGGGCCAACAUCGAUUUUGGCCGGCGGAUAAAGGCAUGGGGAAUGUGGCACCUCCGGGUGUGUUAUAGCCCUGUGUCAUACACGUCGGCUGGGAUCGAGGACUGCAGCACGCCUUUAUGGCCGGGGUUCGCCCACGUAACGUGCUUAGGAUGUUGGCAUAAUGGCUUUAAACGA